This 484-nucleotide ribosomal RNA is filed under the name uncultured bacterium. RNAcentral describes it as "bacterial SSU rRNA". It matches the Rfam family "Bacterial small subunit ribosomal RNA", at positions 28 to 523 of the family's 1533-position model. The record is from RNAcentral.
GAUGAACGCUGACAGAAUGCUUAACACAUGCAAGUCUACUUGAUUUAUGGUUUCGGCUAUAAUGAAGGUGGCGGACGGGUGAGUAACGCGUAAAGAAUCUGCCUUUUAGUCUGGGAUAACAGUUGGAAACGACUGCUAAUACCGGAUAUUAUGGAACUGUCGCAUGACAGUACUAUGAAAGCUAUAUGCGCUAGAAGAGGACUUUGCGUCCCAUUAGCUAGUUGGUGAGGUAACGGCUCACCAAGGCGACGAUGGGUAGCCGGCCUGAGAGGGUGAUCGGCCACAAGGGAACUGAGACACGGUCCUUACUCCUACGGGAGGCAGCAGUGGGGAAUAUUGGACAAUGGACCAAAAGUCUGAUCCAGCAAUUCUGUGUGCACGAUGAAGGUCUUCGGAUUGUAAAGUGCUUUCAGUAGGGAAGAAAAAAAUAGACGGUACCUACAGAAGAAGCGACGGCUAAAUAUAGUGCCAGCAGCCGCGGUAA